AACGCACCUUGCGCUCCUUGGUAUUCCGAGGAGCAUGCCUGUUUGAGUGUCAUGGUAUUCUCAACCCUGCUACAUUUUUUGUGUAGCUGGGCUUGGACUUGGAGGUUUAUUGCUGGUGUUCUCUUUUGAACACGGGCUCCUCUGAAAUGCAUUAGCUGGAAUGUUACCGAGCAUGAUUCAACGUGAUAAUUGUCUACAUUGCUUCAACUUGGUAUUAAUUCUGUUUCAGCUUCAAACCGUCCCUUGCGGACAAUAUCUUGAACAUCUGACCUCAAAUCAGGUAGGACUACCCGCUGAACUUAA
Molecule: unclassified non-coding RNA, 303 nt
Filed under: uncultured Antrodiella
Lineage: Eukaryota; Fungi; Basidiomycota; Agaricomycetes; Polyporales; Steccherinaceae
Description: sequence contains ITS2
Rfam family: 5.8S ribosomal RNA (bases 1-52)
Source: RNAcentral